RNAcentral lists this small nuclear RNA (19 nucleotides) under Arabidopsis thaliana (thale cress). RNAcentral describes it as "snRNA_02052". The record is from RNAcentral. Lineage: Eukaryota; Viridiplantae; Streptophyta; Magnoliopsida; Brassicales; Brassicaceae.
GCGUCGUUCGGACCGCCUU